UACGUAGGUGGCAAGCGUUGUCCGGAUUUACUGGGCGUAAAGCGUAUGCAGGCGGGUUCUUAAGUAGGAAGUGAAAGGUUGGAGCUUAACUCUAACACUGCUCCCUAUACUGGGAACCUUGAGUGCCGGAGAGGAAGACGGAACGACACGUGUAGCGGUGAAAUGCGUUGAGAUGUGUCGGAACACCAAUGGCGAAAGCAGUCUUCUGGACGGAUACUGACGCUGAGAUACGAAAGCUAAGGGAGCAAACAGG
This 253-nucleotide ribosomal RNA is filed under the name uncultured bacterium. RNAcentral describes it as "partial 16S ribosomal RNA". It matches the Rfam family "Bacterial small subunit ribosomal RNA", at positions 524 to 776 of the family's 1533-position model. The record is from RNAcentral.